AACUCGAUGGUAGCUGACGAUACAGUUA
Molecule: small RNA, 28 nt
Filed under: Bombyx mori (domestic silkworm)
Lineage: Eukaryota; Metazoa; Arthropoda; Insecta; Lepidoptera; Bombycidae
Description: ovarian small RNA-4251
Source: RNAcentral